This 490-nucleotide ribosomal RNA is filed under the name uncultured bacterium. RNAcentral's name for it is "partial 16S ribosomal RNA". It matches the Rfam family "Bacterial small subunit ribosomal RNA", at positions 30 to 507 of the family's 1533-position model. The record is from RNAcentral.
AUUGAACGCUGGCGGCAGGCUUAACACAUGCAAGUCGAGCGGUAGCACAGGGGAGCUUGCUCCCUGGGUGACGAGCGGCGGACGGGUGAGUCAUGUCUGGGAAACUGCCUGAUGGAGGGGGAUAACUACUGGAAACGGUAGCUAAUACCGCAUAACGUCGCAAGACCAAAGAGGGGGACCUUCGGGCCUCUUGCCAUCAGAUGUGCCCAGAUGGGAUUAGCUAGUAGGUGGGGUAAUGGCUCACCUAGGCGACGAUCCCUAGCUGGUCUGAGAGGAUGACCAGCCACACUGGAACUGAGACACGGUCCAGACUCCUACGGGAGGCAGCAGUGGGGAAUAUUGCACAAUGGGCGCAAGCCUGAUGCAGCCAUGCCGCGUGUGUGAAGAAGGCCUUCGGGUUGUAAAGCACUUUCAGCGAGGAGGAAGGUGGUGAGCUUAAUACGUUCAUCAAUUGACGUUACUCGCAGAAGAAGCACCGGCUAACUCCGUG